Penaeus vannamei (Pacific white shrimp) is the source of this 570-nucleotide non-coding RNA. The record is from RefSeq and is a predicted model, not a curated record. Lineage: Eukaryota; Metazoa; Arthropoda; Malacostraca; Decapoda; Penaeidae.
CUAAUCUAACAUGUGCAUACCUUGUAACUUAGGGUGCGAUGGGUAUGCUAGGACCGCUGGGCAUGAUGCAGAAGCAGGGGAGUGCCCAACACCUGGUGAGCAGAGCCGAUCCCAAGACGUGGCACUCCCUUGACCUUGAUCCCCAUAACAUGAGACCACCACCUUUUAAAACCCAAAGGUCGUCCUCGAUGCCCACACCAAAGGGUGACAUGUCCCCUCCGGACAAAGACCGCAGCACCAGGGUCUCUGUCAGCAACGAAAACAAUAUCCUCUUGGACCGGAGGUGCUGACAGAGUUCUCAACCCAAGCCCUCGUCCUCACCGUCUUGGCCACACUAGUGAAGUACACCACGGACGAGAAUGAGAUGAGAGUGCUGUACGAAUACCUGGCUGAGGCUUCAGUCGUCUUCCCCAAGGUCUUCCCUGUCAUCCACUCCCUUCUGGAUGCCAAGAUCACCUCGGUGCUGUCCUUGUGUCAUGAUGGUGUGAUCCUGAGUGCUGUUCAGUCUAUAAUUCAGAAUAUGGUAGCUUGUGAGGACCAAGGACACCAACAACUGCAUGCUCUUCAAAG